RNAcentral lists this ribosomal RNA (653 nucleotides) under uncultured bacterium. RNAcentral describes it as "bacterial SSU rRNA". It matches the Rfam family "Bacterial small subunit ribosomal RNA", at positions 86 to 757 of the family's 1533-position model. The record is from RNAcentral.
ACUGACUGAGCGGCGGACGGGUGAGUAACGCGUGGGUGACCUGCCCCAUACCGGGGGAUAACAGCUGGAAACGGCUGCUAAUACCGCAUAAGCGCACAGAGCUGCAUGGCUCAGUGUGAAAAACUCCGGUGGUAUGGGAUGGGCCCGCGUCUGAUUAGGCAGUUGGCGGGGUAACGGCCCACCAAACCGACGAUCAGUAGCCGGCCUGAGAGGGCGACCGGCCACAUUGGGACUGAGACACGGCCCAAACUCCUACGGGAGGCAGCAGUGGGGAAUAUUGCACAAUGGGGGAAACCCUGAUGCAGCGACGCCGCGUGAGCGAAGAAGUAUUUCGGUAUGUAAAGCUCUAUCAGCAGGGAAGAUAAUGACGGUACCUGACUAAGAAGCCCCGGCUAACUACGUGCCAGCAGCCGCGGUAAUACGUAGGGGGCAAGCGUUAUCCGGAUUUACUGGGUGUAAAGGGAGCGUAGACGGCAAGGCAAGUCUGAUGUGAAAACCCAGGGCUUAACCCUGGGACUGCAUUGGAAACUGUCUGGCUCGAGUGCCGGAGAGGUAAGCGGAAUUCCUAGUGUAGCGGUGAAAUGCGUAGAUAUUAGGAAGAACACCAGUGGCGAAGGCGGCUUACUGGACGGUAACUGACGUUGAGGCUCGAA